GGGUUGUGAGGUUAAGCGACUAAGCGUACACGGUGGAUGCCCUGGCAGUCAGAGGCGAUGAAGGACGUGCUAAUCUGCGAUAAGCGCCGGUAAGGUGAUAUGAACCGUUAUAACCGGCGAUUUCCGAAUGGGGAAACCCAGUGUGACUCGUCACACUAUCAUUAACUGAAUCCAUAGGUUAAUGAGGCGAACCGGGGGAACUGAAACAUCUAAGUACCCCGAGGAAAAGAAAUCAACCGAGAUUCCCCCAGUAGCGGCGAGCGAACGGGGAGGAGCCCAGAGCCUGAAUCAGCAUGUGUGUUAGUGGAAGCGUCUGGAAAGGCGCGCGAUACAGGGUGACAGCCCCGUACACAAAAGCGCAUGUGCUGUGAGCUCGAUGAGUAGGGCGGGACACGUGGUAUCCUGUCUGAAUAUGGGGGGACCAUCCUCCAAGGCUAAAUACUCCUGACUGACCGAUAGUGAACCAGUACCGUGAGGGAAAGGCGAAAAGAACCCCGGCGAGGGGAGUGAAAAAGAACCUGAAACCGUGUACGUACAAGCAGUGGGAGCACCCUUUGGGGUGUGACUGCGUACCUUUUGUAUAAUGGGUCAGCGACUUAUAUUCUGUAGCAAGGUUAACCGUAUAGGGGAGCCGGAGGGAAACCGAGUCUUAACCGGGCGUUAAGUUGC
RNAcentral lists this ribosomal RNA (669 nucleotides) under Salmonella enterica. RNAcentral's name for it is "partial 23S ribosomal RNA". It matches the Rfam family "Bacterial large subunit ribosomal RNA", at positions 1 to 703 of the family's 2925-position model. Lineage: Bacteria; Pseudomonadati; Pseudomonadota; Gammaproteobacteria; Enterobacterales; Enterobacteriaceae. The record is from RNAcentral.